RNAcentral lists this ribosomal RNA (557 nucleotides) under uncultured Mesorhizobium sp. RNAcentral's name for it is "bacterial SSU rRNA". It matches the Rfam family "Bacterial small subunit ribosomal RNA", at positions 102 to 694 of the family's 1533-position model. The record is from RNAcentral. Lineage: Bacteria; Pseudomonadati; Pseudomonadota; Alphaproteobacteria; Hyphomicrobiales; Phyllobacteriaceae.
ACGGGUGAGUAACGCGUGGGAAUCUACCCAUCUCUAUGGAACAACUCUGGGAAACUGGAGCUAAUACCGUAUACGUCCUUCGGGAGAAAGAUUUAUCGGAGAUGGAUGAGCCCGCGUUGGAUUAGCUAGUUGGUGGGGUAAUGGCCUACCAAGGCGACGAUCCAUAGCUGGUCUGAGAGGAUGAUCAGCCACACUGGGACUGAGACACGGCCCAGACUCCUACGGGAGGCAGCAGUGGGGAAUAUUGGACAAUGGGCGCAAGCCUGAUCCAGCCAUGCCGCGUGAGUGAUGAAGGCCCUAGGGUUGUAAAGCUCUUUCAACGGUGAAGAUAAUGACGGUAACCGUAGAAGAAGCCCCGGCUAACUUCGUGCCAGCAGCCGCGGUAAUACGAAGGGGGCUAGCGUUGUUCGGAAUUACUGGGCGUAAAGCGCACGUAGGCGGAUACUUAAGUCAGGGGUGAAAUCCCGGGGCUCAACCCCGGAACUGCCUUUGAUACUGGGUAUCUCGAGUCCGGAAGAGGUGAGUGGAAUUCCGAGUGUAGAGGUGAAAUUCGUAGA